Molecule: long non-coding RNA, 1096 nt
Organism: Plectropomus leopardus (leopard coralgrouper)
Lineage: Eukaryota; Metazoa; Chordata; Actinopteri; Perciformes; Serranidae
Source: RefSeq, a predicted model, not a curated record
AGGUUGUGCAUCACCAAGAAUUCCCUCCUCACUGUCCACAUGGAAGUGAUCAGUCAGCAGUGAGUGUAUAAAGAUCUGUGUGUUUCAAACCUCAUCAGUCAUGGACAAAACUGUGCUGCUGCUCCUGUUGUGUCUCCUCACAGCCGCCACGACCACUGACGCAGCCGCUGUGGUGAGAGACGACCUGCAACAGCUGUCUCCAGAUGUGAUGGAAAGAGUAAGUGUGCACGAAAACAGCGGACAAAGAGCCAAACGACGAGCUCCCAACUGCCGGUUUAGGCAGGGUGCUUGUUCACCUUUUGGACAGUCGCAGCCUGCCCCGACUGCUGCCCCUCCUGAUACUGACACCAGAAAAUAAAGUGACAACAAGAAUACCAAACCAACCUGAUGACAGACAUGAAAACCUGAAUCCUCUCAAGGAAGCUUUUCUCUUUUGCUUUGACAUUUUGGUGAAAAAAUCAAUCACUGCAUGAACUCUGCAUCGUGAAUGCUAAGUCAACACUCCUCAUUACUUCUGCACAAGAGGAAAAACAUAGUGACCAUGCCAUUAAUUAUGACACGUCAUUUUUUCUGCAUCACAUGUAAUAUAUAUAUAUAUAUAUAUAUAUACAGUAUAUAUAUAUAUAUAUCGACAGUAAGUUUUAUUUUGUUGAUUUUACUCUGGAUGCAGUUCUGCACACACCAUCUAAAUGUUGUUUUGGGUUGUUUUUUGUUUACAAAUAAAAACUGUUAAAAAAAAACAAAAAACAAGAUGUUUGUAUUUAAAAUAAAAGGUUCAUCCAUCCAAUCUUUCACCUGCUGACUGUGUGUGUGCCCUGCAGGUUGUGCCCUGUAGUUUAUUAGUAAUGAAAUCAAGACAACAGAUGGAAAAUUAACAUCACAUAACAAAAGAUUUACACUUUUGUUCAAUUACGGUUUAAAUUGUUUGAAAUCUGUUCCAUAAAAUGCAUUGGUUUAAAUAAUUUUGCUUUUACUGAUGCUGUGAUGAAUUUAUAACAGAUUUUAUUAGAAUAAAUAAUGACAGUGAUUUCACUCCAAGUGCUGUUAAAUUAAAGUAAUACUUCACUUUGUGUACUUUGUUGCAAACUAAAUAAAG